Molecule: unclassified non-coding RNA, 412 nt
Filed under: Hevea brasiliensis (rubber tree)
Lineage: Eukaryota; Viridiplantae; Streptophyta; Magnoliopsida; Malpighiales; Euphorbiaceae
Source: RNAcentral
GGAGGUUGCAAUAUCUGGCCUUUCUUGCAUAUGCAUCCACCGGUUCCCCAACCAUUCUUGAGAAUGCCUCAAAUUGUCCGAGCCAAAUACCAAUUCAUGCUUUUCACCUGGCAAGUAAACUCGCAACUUGUCUUCAGAUUCCUUCUGAACUAUAAUUCCUUCCCACCAACCGUCAUGCCACCAUACAUCGACAAUGGUUCCAACAUUGUACACCAAGGCAGCUUUGCUACCCUUACUGGGCUGUGGACGAAUAACCAAUCUUCCAUUGAUGCGUAGACCCAACUGAUCAGAAGCUGCAACUCUUGAUGCUGAAAGCCAUUCCACAAGCUUGCUAGAUUCAUCGUCAGCGUCCUGAAGAUUGUGAUAUUGUACCUUGACCUUGUCUCCACGCUUCUUGAUUAUUGAAGCUCUG